CAGUAAGGUAUUGCUCCUGUCGGAGGUGGGGUUGGUGCACACAUCACCGAUGGGUAACACAUUCCUAUUACGAAUGGGUAACAAAUUGCUGCCCUGGGUACAGAGGAAGUAAUUGUGACACACCAAUUUGUAGUUGUCAAAAUCAAGGAGUGUGUGUAGCCCCUAACGUGUGUAGAUGUCCUUUGAAUUCGGGGUAUACAGGAAACUCUUGUCAAACACCAAUCUGUUAUCCCAAUUGUCAGCAUGGCUAUUGUAGUAGACCUAACACAUGUAGUUGUUACCAGGGAUAUACAGGAUCACGCUGCUCACAACCUGUAUGUAGUCCAGGUUGUCAAAAUGG
Long non-coding RNA from Saccostrea cuccullata (small rock oyster), 340 nucleotides. RefSeq lists it as uncharacterized. Lineage: Eukaryota; Metazoa; Mollusca; Bivalvia; Ostreida; Ostreidae. The record is from RefSeq and is a predicted model, not a curated record. The transcript is spliced from 5 exons.